CAAAGCCGCACAUGGCUCAUUACAACAGCCACAGUUUAUUAGAUCGUACUUUCCUACUUGGAUAACUGUGGUAAUUCUAGAGCUAAUACACGCAGCAAAGCUCGGACUCACGAACGAGCGCAUUUAUUAGAGCAAAACCAAUCGGGCUUCGGCCCGUUCUUUGGUGAAUCUGAAUAACUCUGCAGAUCGCACGGUCUCGCACCGGCGACGCAUCUUUCAAAUGUCUGCCUUAUCAACUUUCGAUGGUAGUUUAUACGCCUACCAUGGUUGUAACGGGUAACGGAGAAUAAGGGUUCGACUCCGGAGAGGGAGCCUGAGAAACGGCUACCACAUCCAAGGAAGGCAGCAGGCACGCAAAUUACCCACUCCCGGCACGGGGAGGUAGUGACGAAAAAUAACGAGGCGGUUCUCUACGAGGCCCGCCAUCGGAAUGGGUACAAUUUAAAUCCUUUAACGAGGAUCUAUUGGAGGGCAAGUCUGGUGCCAGCAGCCGCGGUAAUUCCAGCUCCAAUAGCGUAUAUUAAAGUUGUUGCGGUUAAAAAGCUCGUAGUUGGAUCUGCGGUCAAGGGAAUCGGUCCUCCGACGGAUGGUACUGGUUUUCCUGACCUAACUACUUCGGUUUUCCCUUGAUGCUCUUAACCGGGUGUCUUGGGCGACCGAAACGUUUACUUUGAAAAAAUUAGAGUGCUCAAAGCAGGCGUUCAGCCUGAAUAGUGGUGCAUGGAAUAAUAAAAGAGGAUCUCGGUUCUAUUUUGUUGGUAUUGGAUUGAGAUAAUGAUCGAUGGGGAUAGACGGGGGCAU
This 801-nucleotide ribosomal RNA is filed under the name Tobrilus gracilis. RNAcentral describes it as "SSU rRNA". It matches the Rfam family "Eukaryotic small subunit ribosomal RNA", at positions 82 to 891 of the family's 1831-position model. Lineage: Eukaryota; Metazoa; Nematoda; Enoplea; Triplonchida; Tobrilidae. RNAcentral also lists the same sequence under 1 other name. The record is from RNAcentral.